CUCUUAUAAUCUUUUGUUUUGCUGAGAGAAGUCAUGUCGAGGUGAAAUAUCUGGAGGAAAUUUUGUUGCAGAAAAAGGGCUCGUUGGGAAAUAUUCGCAUCGAAUAAUCGAGGUUGUUAAGUUAAAGCAGUUUCAUUGGCAUUUAGAACUGAAAGUGGAAAAGUGUACAGAAAAGCACAAGAUUUGCUGAAAAACAAAUUAGGAUGAACAUUACAAAAAGAAGCUUAUUUCUUGGAAAGGUACAUCGUUGUUUAGCAUCUUGAUUUGAAAUCGCAUUGUAAUUCGUAGUGGAAAAAACUUUUCAACAAAUGGAUAUGGCCAGAAUAUAACAUAAUCUGAUGAUACGCUCUGAAAUAUUGCAUCAAUCAUGUGUCGAUCAAUUAUGGGAUAAUCCAUCAGUUCACCAUAAAGAGGAAUAACUUAUAAGCCCAAUGGUGUUGACACUAUUGAGGAAAAAUACUCCGAACUCAUAUUAACAACUGGAAAGGAAGGUUUUCCUGCCGUUCCCCGUACAGCUCACUUCCAAAGAGUCUGGAUAUGAAUGCAACUGCGGGACUAAAUGAGAAGUUUGUAAUAGACUUGAAGUAAAAAUAAAUUAAUAAUCGCUAGCUGUCCUUAUAGACUGAAAGUAAUGCAUAAAAAGGCACAUAGAGCUUAUAGCAAUAGCAAUCACUAGCUGUCUUAAAUAAGUUUCCUUAUAGAAAGGCUGCUUUACUAAUUCCUACAUCAUGUACUACUUAUUAUAUGAUCAAAGCUAUACUGUUAAAUACUAAUUUCUAAAGCAAGCACUACUUAAUUAUUAGGACAUGUGAUGGAAGGGUAUAUAUUAGCACACAGCAUGUGCUACAUAUUAUGUCACAUGAUUUAAGGCUAUAUAGUUUUAUACUAACUUCUAUAGACUAUAGCAUACACCACUGAUAUUAAAGAAAGCAUGCAUAUAUAAUCCCAAUAA
Long non-coding RNA from Dendronephthya gigantea, 952 nucleotides. RefSeq lists it as uncharacterized. The transcript has 3 exons. Lineage: Eukaryota; Metazoa; Cnidaria; Anthozoa; Malacalcyonacea; Nephtheidae. The record is from RefSeq and is a predicted model, not a curated record.